Molecule: long non-coding RNA, 2409 nt
Organism: Daphnia magna
Lineage: Eukaryota; Metazoa; Arthropoda; Branchiopoda; Diplostraca; Daphniidae
Exons: 9
Source: RefSeq, a predicted model, not a curated record
GAUUGUUAUGCCUUGGUUAUGCCGUCCGUGAGACCGUGACAGCAACCAGCAGUUUCACCAGCUGUUUUGUUUCAACUUUUCGUGGCGGCGAUUAAGAAUGGGGGUCUUGGUCUUUAGAAAUUGAUAUUUCUUACAGCUGAUUCCCUGGUAUUCGAAGUAACUUUCCUCGUUAUUCACCGCAUUUGGGAAGUUUCUAAUAUGGUAUGUUGGCAAGGAUGUCAUUCUGUGGGAGCGAGUGAUGCUACUAGAAGCCUGACUUUUUUUUUUACAAAGAAGUGUAAAAAUUAGCAAGACGUCUUUGGCUCAAAAAGACAAUAAUAUUUAUACAAAACUUGGUGAACAUGGAUUGAUUGACAGUUAUCAGAUCUUUUGAAUGGCAAAAGCAGAACAGCUAACUAUCACAUGUCAGUGUAAGAUUUUCCAGCCAGAAUUUCCAGCAACUCAGCAUUUGAUUAACACAACUGUAAGCAAGGACUCGGCAAAUACAAUGACUAGCCCAUAUUCAAAUUGUAGCACAAUAUUUGUACAAUCGUGAUUUUUCCGAAAUACGUAAGGACGUUAGGUACGAAUGUACGAUGCCGAAACUUAUGUCACGAUAAAAGGUAUUGACUUACAAAUGAAGAGCGUAUUCGAGUCACCGAACAUUUGGGAUCGUUUCGUGAAUUCAUCCAUUUAAAGCGUGUUCUUACACAUUUUUUAUCCGGGACAAAUGUCACGCGUUGGCUGAAUUUCUUCCCCGCGGAUUAUGGCUUAUGUAAUUGAUCCAAAUCCACGUAAUGGGAAUUGAUGAUGGAAAUUUAUCAUUUGCAGCCUUUUGCUUUUUGCUAAUUCUGUCUUCUAUCAGAGUCAUAGAACGUGUUAUGACUCUGCUUCUAUCUAUCAAUCUAUGUAGGGAAAAGCAGAGUCAUAGACCCCUGGUUCGUCCACUAUGGCUAUUUUUCCUCUCAGAAAAGGAGUACUCUCUUGGGGGGAUUGCUAUACAAAAAAGCGGGGGUUUUGGGUCGGGGCGAAAGAUCCGCGCGGUGGGAGCGCCUGUUGUUGUUCACUCCACGCAGAAACUCAUUUGUCGACAGAUGGCAUUCCCACCGGGCGGAAAAUCACUCGUACAGCCCGACCGUGCCCCGACCGUCCCCGACCCAAAACCCUUGCUCCUAGACGGGAAGUGAACACAAAGCCUGGAAGUGUUGUAGAAUGUUGAGCACUCAUCUGUGGAGGAAAUCUAAUUGACAGGAUUCAAAUAUCGUGAGACUGAGAAAACACAGAAAAACUGUUGCAUAAAAGUUACUAAGGUAAAAUGGAAAGAGGCUACUACAAAAUCAAUUCACCAAAAAUUUUAAUAGAUUUACAAAAAUAGGAUUUUCUGGCAGUAUUGAAAGUUUAAAACUGAAGUACCACAAAAUUAUUUUAUCCUUUUCUAUUAGUAAAUUGCAAUACAAAUUGAUUGCUCUUUUGGUUUUUGGCACCAAUUAAUCUUGUUCUUUAUGUUACAUUAGGUGGAACUGUGUUGCUGAUGAAACAUCCCUGACAAUUACUAAACUUUGUAGUUAAGACUGAUGAGAAUUUGAAGCAAAUCCAGAGUUAAUAAGAGCAGGUCUAUGUUUAACAUUGAAUAUUUGAAUGAAUUUAUGUAACCCUUUGUCUAUUUAGCUCAUGGAAUAGGGUCAGCCCACAACUUAACUUAAAUUAAUAAUUUAUUUAUUUAACUGAUAAUUAUUGUUUGAAGGAGACACUACACCAGGGACAACAGAAGUGUAGCCCUUCAAAGCAUUAUUUUAUAGAUAAUUCAACUUAUUGGGCAGGUUCACAAUUGUGUCACUGGAAAUGGGCAGCCGACAUUUCCCGUAUAUUUCCAAGACAUCUAGGGGAGAAAUAACUAACCCCGCAGAAUUUUUAUGGACGUCAGCUGCCCCGUCAGCUGCUCCAUUUCGCGUGGUUUCGGACUGAGGAUGGAUGCCAAAACGAACGUCUCUCUUCUCGAAAUUUUACCAUCGAUUCCCUGUGUUUUGAGCUGCAUCUUGUGAAUUCAAUUAAUGCAGAGUUGUUCAAGGUCUUUGGGAUGUUCCUGAUGUACUGUGGUGACCGCAAAUUCAUUGAAUGACUUGGUUCAAUCCACGACUUGGUUUUUUAAAUAGUGGUUUACAGUUUUAAUUUGCAGAGAUCCUGGAGGAACCUGAUAUGUUGCACUGGUGUUGGAGUCACUCGGUGACAGAAGAGAAUGGCACUUAAGUAAAGUUAUCAGUGUAAAUAAAACAUAUCCAGUAUUAUUCUUGUGUUUGUUGAAUUAUUACCUCAUUCAACGGAAACAAAGAAGUUAAAGAAGUGAUUGCAUUUGACAGUCAAAUGUACAAAGAAAACAAUUUAUUCGCUGGUGUUUCACCGACAAUGAAAUAUAUUGAAAUAAGUACAGUU